RNAcentral lists this small nucleolar RNA (209 nucleotides) under Sinocyclocheilus rhinocerous. RNAcentral describes it as "Small nucleolar RNA U3 (ENSSRHG00000011696.1)". It matches the Rfam family "Small nucleolar RNA U3". From Rfam's summary of the family: Small nucleolar RNAs (snoRNAs) are involved in the processing and modification of rRNA in the nucleolus. There are two main classes of snoRNAs: the box C/D class, and the box H/ACA class. The record is from Rfam by way of RNAcentral. Lineage: Eukaryota; Metazoa; Chordata; Actinopteri; Cypriniformes; Cyprinidae.
AAGACUGUAUUUUCAGGAAUCAUUUCUAUAGUUCUUUACUUGGAAAUGUGUUUUGAAGAUGUUUGUGUCCCAACCCACAAUGAUGAGCUGUAAUGCUCCUUUCUGAGAGUGAAUCAAGGGCAGAACUGUGACUAUAGUCACAAUCUGUUGUUAAUGAGCAUUCAUAUUGCUUCCGGCAAUAUUGAAGAAAGGAGUGUGAUCUGAGUGAU